UACGUAGGCAGCAAGCGUUGUUCGGAAUUACUGGGCGUAAAGAGUGUGUAGGCGGUGCUCUAAGUUCGGUGUGAAAUCUCCCGGCUCAACUGGGAGGGUGCGCCGGAAACUGGAAUGCUUGAGCGUGGGAGAGGAAAGCGGAAUUCCUGGUGUAGCGGUGAAAUGCGUAGAUAUCAGGAGGAACACCUGCGGUGUAGACGGCUUUCUGGACCAUUGCUGACGCUGAGACACGAAGGCGUGGGUAGCAAACAGG
This 253-nucleotide ribosomal RNA is filed under the name uncultured bacterium. RNAcentral describes it as "partial 16S ribosomal RNA". It matches the Rfam family "Bacterial small subunit ribosomal RNA", at positions 524 to 776 of the family's 1533-position model. The record is from RNAcentral.